AUUGAACGCUGGCGGCAGGCUUAACACAUGCAAGUCGAACGAGUGGCGGACGGGUGAGUAAUGCUUGGGAAUCUAGCUUAUGGAUGGGGAUAACUACUGGAAACUGUAGCUAAUACCGCGUACCAUAGGAUGAGCCCAAGUGGGAUUAGCUAGUUGGUGAGGUAAAGGCUCACCGAGCCGACGAUCUCUAGCUGGGCUGAGAGGAUGAUCAGCCACAAGGGAACUGAGAAACGGCCAAGAAUCCUACGGGAGGCAGCAGUGGGGAAUAUGGCACAAUGGGCGCAAGCCUGAUGCAGCCAUGCCGCGUGUAUGAAGAAGACCUUAGGGUUGGAAAGUACUUUCAGCGGGGAGGCGUUACCCGCAGAAGAAGAACCGGCUAACGCCGUGCCAGCAGCCGCGGUAAUUC
RNAcentral lists this ribosomal RNA (406 nucleotides) under uncultured bacterium. RNAcentral describes it as "partial 16S ribosomal RNA". It matches the Rfam family "Bacterial small subunit ribosomal RNA", at positions 30 to 526 of the family's 1533-position model. The record is from RNAcentral.